AUGGAUUGCCCUGGUUUCAUACGGGUAGAUGGAGCUAGGGUAGCUCCAGGUGAUGCUAUUCAACCCGUAUCCAAUGUUCCCCAUGGGCACAUGCAAAAUAUCACAAUAAGAGUGCUUAAGGAAAGAACAAGUGGAGACUGGUGGGUGUACUACGGCUUCAACAGUGUCCCCACAGGGGUGGGGCGCUUCCCAAGGUCAUCGUUCACCUACUUAGCAGAUAAAGCAAACCAUUUUGCUUUUGGUGGUGCUGUGAUUUCUCAUAGGGCAGAUCCAACUCCUCCAAUGGGCAGUGGUUCCUUCCCAAAUGGUGGUCAAGGUCGCGCUGCAUCUUUCACCAAUCUUCGUAUCAUUGAUGAGUAUGGGAACAGCAAGCCCAUCACGGCAGACUUGCCCGUGUUGGUUACGAAUAACAAAUGUCAUACUAUUACUCCUAUUAAUCAUGGUGAAUGCCUUUAUGGUGGGCCUGGAGGUUGUGUAAGAUAA
This 483-nucleotide ribosomal RNA is filed under the name Triticum aestivum (bread wheat). Its description in RNAcentral is "partial small subunit ribosomal RNA". Lineage: Eukaryota; Viridiplantae; Streptophyta; Magnoliopsida; Poales; Poaceae. The record is from RNAcentral.